Molecule: ribosomal RNA, 289 nt
Filed under: uncultured Glomeromycotina
Lineage: Eukaryota; Fungi; Glomeromycota
Description: partial large subunit ribosomal RNA
Source: RNAcentral
CAGUCAUGCCGACGGGAAUCAACUUAGAGGAACUCUGGGUGCACUUCUUCGUUUGGCAGGUUAGUGUCGAUUUUGGAUGUCAUAAAAUAAUUGGGGGAAGGUAGCUCUUUCGGGAGUGUUAUAGCCCUUGGUAGAUGUGAUGUCUGGGAUCGAGGAUUGCAACGGAUACCCUUCGGGGCUAGCUGCCUGAUCUCUAAUUGGUGUUGGGUUACGGAUAGCAUGCUGACCGUGAUCUAAUUACUGGUUAAAAGGUUAGAGUAUGCAUAAAUUCGUUAAGGAUGUUGACGUA